UGAACAUGCACGUGUGGCCCACGCAUACUUGUAUUUCACAUUUUACAAUUACUCGAACAACUUUACUCCGUAGCCCGUACUUCCGUAGGGAAGAAGGAUCAAACUCACACAGUCAUCGGAAUGACUGAAUGAUGCUCUUUCUUCUGAUAAACAAAAGAUCAUGUAGAACCAUGAUAAUUUCUUAUGAACUCGAAGAUAACAUACGGAGUACUUAUUUAACAGUGGGGAAAUUGACUUUGCACAUAAACUGUUCGACGAAAUGCCGCACUGAAAGUCUGAAAUACGGAGUGCGAAUUUAUUUGAUCAAAUACCAGAUUAAAUGAACAUGUUGGUUGGGCUUAAUGCUUGCUACACAGAGGCGAUCAUGAUGGUUCUGUAUACAGAUAUUGAAGCAUGGACAAGAUCACUUUGUUGCAAAGUCAUCGGCGGGUGGAGGCCAUGGAUUGCAAAUGCACAUGUUGCUGGGUACUUUCACUGAUUCAUUCCACUAGAUUUUAAAAGAUGGUAUGUUCACUUCUCUCUUCUGGUUUAUACUAGGCUAUGACAAGAACUUCAGCUUUCUUACUGUUAAGAUCACCCAUAAGUACCAAACUUCUUAAUAGGUGUAUGUUUUUUCCGCAUUCACUCUUUUACCUGUAAUCUGCAUCAAAACUUCAUCAGUUUACCCUAUAUCAUGGCGAUUAUGCACCGCCAUUGCUUACUGAACAUUCUCAUGUUCUACUAUCAGGGUGUUGGGUAUAUGGUGCUACCGUGCUAGGGAAAUAGAUAAGUUGACAAUUGACAUAAAACCAUGAUUAUAUAAGUUACUCCAAAAUACAGGAUUAAGUUGGCUAAAACCUUUGAAAUUAUCAAUUGAUAACCAGUUUUAACUGUUAAAUUUCUGCUACCUCCAACUGCAAAUGAAACAAAGUUUAACUUUUUCCAUGUUAACUACCAAGUUGAUCAAUCAUUCAGUUAACCUGUUAUUUUGCUGGCACACAAUUCAGUGUAAGCAAUAGAAGGAGAGAUGGGAGCAAACUUGGCAUUAUUGAAAAUUAUGCAAAACAUUUGAUGGGCUUCAAAUGGGUAGUUAGUUAUAUAGGUUAAUGCUUAUUUAUUUUGACAAAACAUGAUAAUUGAGUAAUAAAUUUGAUAUCUUUAGAAUUGCAUAUUUUUGGAAGGUGAAGAUCUUAUCAUAUCAUGCCAUUGUCUAUGAUUUGCUCUAUAUAUGUAUCCUUGAGGAAUUUCUGGGUAGAUACAGAUUGCUGUUGAAUAAAUGCAGUAUUUUAUUCCAUAUUGGUUUAACCCAUAUCCUAAUAAUCAUUCUGCCUAAUGGUUGACUGUUUGUGUAUGAAUAUCAUAUUCUCAUGGAAUUAGAACAAUAAAAAGGGUCAAUGCUAUAGUAGUAUUUGCAUCGAUUUUAGCGAGAAAAUUAACUAAGAAAUGGCUAGCAGUUGUCGUCUUGUUACACUAGCAUUACUAGUUCAUGUCAUAGUUUGUUUUACUCUGAUCAAAGCUGCACCUCAAAGUUCACUAAUUACCAACUUACCAGGAUUCACUGGCAGCUUCCCUUCUAAGCACUACUCAGGGUAUGUGUCAAUAGGUGAACAUAAUGCGAAAAACAUGUUUUACUAUUUUGUGGAAUCCGAAAGAAAUCCUGCAAAGGAUCCUGUUGUUUUGUGGCUCAAUGGUGGACCUGGAUGCUCAAGCUUAGGUGCCUUCGUUUAUGAGCAUGGUCCAUUUAAUUUCGAAGCUUCCGGCCUAAUAAACUCUAGUGACUUGCCAAAGCUUCAUCUUAAUCCAAACAGCUGGUCUAAGGUGUCCAACAUUAUCUACUUAGACUCUCCUGUAGGUACUGGGUUUUCUUUCUCAUGGAAUUCAAGUGAUUAUGUAACUGGAGAUUUGAAGACUGCCUCUGACACACACAUUUUUCUGCUUAAAUGGUUUGAGAUGUUUCCGGAGCACCUUAACAACCCAUUUUUCAUUGCUGGAGAAUCAUAUGCUGGUAUCUUUAUACCAACUCUUGCAUCUGAAAUAAUGAAAGGACUUGAUUCUGGCUCAAGGCCUAUCAUCAACUUAAAGGGCUAUAUGAUAGGAAAUGGAGUCACUGAUAAAUACUUUGAUGGGAACGCUGCUGUUCCUUUUGCUCACGGGAUGGGGUUGAUCUCAGAUGAUCUGUAUCAGGAAAUUGUUGAUGUCUGUCAUGGAAGCUAUUUAACACCAUCAAGCGAAAAAUGUCAAAGCAAACUCAAUAAGUUCAAAGAUGUCAUCGAGAACUUGAAUCUUUAUAACAUCUUGGAACAGUGCUAUGAUUUCUAUUAUGAUGAAGAGUACCAAUGCUAUAACUGCAUUGGUGACGAAGAGCUUGAUACUGCUAAUAUGAAAUCGCCAGAAGCUUUGGCAAGUUCAGAUAAAACAAGAGAGCGUCUUCCUGUCCGGAGAAGUACAUUUACAGAUCAUAAACUUGGUUCGACUUUGUCACAAGUUAUCAGCAACACUAGUGUUUUAUGUCAUGAUGAUAUGGCUCCCUACCUGUGGCUUAACAACAAGGCAGUCAGGAAAGCAAUCCAUGCUGCAGAGGAACGCGAGACAGGAAGAUGGGAUACGUGUACAGACCGCAUUACAUAUCAUAGAGAUGUCGGCAGCGUGAUUGAUUAUCAUAAAAGGCUCAUUUCUAUUGGCCUGCGUGUGCUCAUAUACAGUGGAGACCAUGAUAUGGUGGUCCCGUAUACUGGGAGUGAAGCAUGGACACGAUCACUUGGUUACAAAAUCAUUGAUGAGUGGAGACCAUGGAUUUCAAAUGCGCAAGUUGCUGGGUUUACACAAGGUUAUGACAAGAACCUCACCUUUCUUACUAUCAAGGGCGCUGGGCAUAUGGUACCAGAAGACAAGCCUAGAGAAGCAUUGGAGUUUUAUAGCCGAUGGCUGGCAGGAGAGAGAAUUUGAGAGCGCCUUGGCUUAGCAGAAACAAGAAAGUCUGAGAUAUUGUUAGCAGACCAUUCUUUGAGCAUCGCCUCCAUGAAUGAUGAAGCAUCCGAAGAAGAAGCACCUUGGAUUUCAUUACAAUCAACCCCUGCAUUAUUCUCAUUAAUCAAUAAAAACUCUGUCAUCUCAUUCAUUUCCUGUUCUUGUGUCUGACUUUGUGCUGGUCUGAACUCCUCUUCUAGGAGAAAAUCAUGCCAACUGAAACAUUCAGGAGACUUAGACACUUUCCCUGCAUUAUUAUUAUUAUUAUUAUUAUUAUUAUUAUUA
RNA transcript from Spinacia oleracea (spinach), 3231 nucleotides. It is a transcript of the gene named serine carboxypeptidase-like 20, with no coding region annotated. The transcript has 17 exons. NCBI's taxonomy places the organism in Eukaryota, Viridiplantae, Streptophyta, Magnoliopsida, Caryophyllales, Amaranthaceae. The record is from RefSeq and is a predicted model, not a curated record.